CUGGUGGGUGGAGUCUUGUCGCUCCCUCAGGAAAGCUUAGUCAGCCAUCUUGAAUUUACCUUGAUACGGGGAAGUUUUGGCCAGCCCGUGUGGAUUAAGAGUCCCCAACUUCAACCCACCACGACCACCACCUGAUUUUUUUUCAUCAACUGCCCUAAAUUUGGUAAGUCUAACGUGUUUUUGUUUUGUUUAAAUUUAAUUUCGAUAAACAUUCUUUUUUAUUUUUUACUGGAAAUAUAUUCGUACUUUGUGCACAGUGAAUGUUUGUUAUAAAUGAAUUCGAAUCCAAGUAAUUGUAAUUUUAGAAGUUUUCUAAUGUGACAAAUACGUAAUGUUAUUUCAAAUUAGAAUGAUGUAACGUUUUGGCGGUUUUCCGUGGGGGACAACAUUUCCCAUAAUGCAUUGUAUUCUUGCCCUGGAAGUUGACGGUGGCAGUUCUAGCUCCAUGCAUUUGAACUUUCUACUAAAACUUUCCACUGGUUGUCGUAUUCGCCGGUAAUGUACGUGCGUAUUAUAUCAGACUGCAAAGAGCGCUACAGAGAGUCAACAUUUCACCAGUUGUCAGUGGGAACAGCAUGAUGUAAAUACAAGACGGG
Molecule: long non-coding RNA, 596 nt
Organism: Astatotilapia calliptera (eastern happy)
Lineage: Eukaryota; Metazoa; Chordata; Actinopteri; Cichliformes; Cichlidae
Source: Ensembl